GGGCCCGCACAAGCGGUGGAGUAUGUGGUUUAAUUCGAUGCAACGCGAAGAACCUUACCAGGGUUUGACAUCCUGCGAAUCUCUUGGAAACAGGAGAGUGCCUUCGGGAGCGCAGUGACAGGUGGUGCAUGGCUGUCGUCAGCUCGUGUCGUGAGAUGUUGGGUUAAGUCCCGCAACGAGCGCAACCCACGUCUUUAGUUGCCAGCAUUUAGUUGGGCACUCUAGAGAGACUGCCCGUGAUAAGCGGGAGGAAGGUGUGGAUGACGUCAAGUCCUCAUGGCCCUUACGGGUUGGGCUACACACGUGCUACAAUGGCAGUGACAAUGGGUUAAUCCCAAAAAACUGUCUCAGUUCGGAUUGGGUCUGCAACUCGACCCCAUGAAGUCGGAAUCGCUAGUAAUCG
This 403-nucleotide ribosomal RNA is filed under the name uncultured bacterium. Its description in RNAcentral is "bacterial SSU rRNA". It matches the Rfam family "Bacterial small subunit ribosomal RNA", at positions 917 to 1344 of the family's 1533-position model. The record is from RNAcentral.